RNAcentral lists this ribosomal RNA (468 nucleotides) under uncultured bacterium. RNAcentral's name for it is "partial 16S ribosomal RNA". It matches the Rfam family "Bacterial small subunit ribosomal RNA", at positions 28 to 507 of the family's 1533-position model. The record is from RNAcentral.
GACGAACGCUGGCGGCGUGCUUAACACAUGCAAGUCGAACGGAAAGGCCCUGCUUUUGUGGGGUGCUCGAGUGGCGAACGGGUGAGUAACACGUGAGUAACCUGCCCUUGACUGUGGGAUAACUUCAGGAAACUGGGGCUAAUACCGGCUAGGAGCUCCUGCUGCAUGGUGGGGGUUGGAAAGUUUCGGCGGUUGGGGAUGGACUCGCGGCUUAUCAGCUUGUUGGUGGGGUAGUGGCUUACCAAGGCUUUGACGGGUAGCCGGCCUGAGAGGGUGACCGGCCACAUUGGGACUGAGAUACGGCCCAGACUCCUACGGGAGGCAGAAGUGGGGAAUAUUGCACAAUGGGCGGAAGCCUGAUGCAGCAACGCCGCGUGCGGGAUGACGGCCUUCGGGUUGUAAACCGCUUUCGCCUGUGACGAAGCGUGAGUGACGGUAAUGGGUAAAGAAGCACCGGCUAACUACGUG